Non-coding RNA from Paramisgurnus dabryanus, 759 nucleotides. The record is from RefSeq and is a predicted model, not a curated record. Lineage: Eukaryota; Metazoa; Chordata; Actinopteri; Cypriniformes; Cobitidae.
UUCAAUAGACACAUUAAGGUAAAUUAAAUAUUGAGGCUCAUGUUUGCAUCUUUGUGUUUAUAUAUCAAAAGAUUGCUCUAUAAGGCUAAAUAGUCACAUUGUGAUUUCAGUGAAAGCUGAUAAAUACAGAGGGCUGGACAGUGGUUUCAUUCAUUAGGUAAAGAGGUGGGACAAGGAUGCUGACAGGACAGGAGGAGGUCACAUUCAGACAUUCAGCGCAGACAUUUUCAUCCAAAGCAACUUGAGGAAGAAAACAGAAGCAGUUCAUCCUAAAAGUGGGCUGCUGUAAUGUUUACAUCUAUGGAAAGAGGAGCUGAGAAGAAAAGAUAGGCUGGAAAGCAGUACUUCUUGUUGAGGACAAUCCUGAAUAGGAACACUUUCUCAUACACAUAGAUUAUUAUUAGUGCUUGAUUGUUUGUUUCAUUUUUAUGAAUUGUAUUGUUUUAAUUUUUCGUUUUAUUUGAAAUUACCUAAGUUAGAUUCAUGCUAAUACUUUAGCUGGACCUUGUAUCUUUGCUGGCUGGCUGGCUGUAGAGUUGGUUUCACAUACACAUGAAGUUUCUAAUUAACUAACUUUUAAGUUCAGUUUGGUUUAAACUUGUAUUUACCCAUGGUAAUUCAUUUAAAUUUCUAUUCAUGCUUAUAUAUUAAUUUCAAUGAACUUCUGGCAAUUUGGGCAAGCUACGUUUAACAAACAAAUGUAACUGUCACAAAGGUUUUUUUAUUAUCAGUUUGUUCUAAACUUUUGUUUGUUUACUA